CAAUAAACCAGCUACAAAGUCCCAAAACUUUUUGGCUGAUGAACCAAAUGAAGAUUCAUAGUCAGUAGGAACGUCUCAAAAUGUACUAUUGAUAACCUAUCAGCCACCCAAUUCAAAAUCGUAAAGUGCCUACUGUUAGGUUUGUAAUAUUCAUGAACGCAAUCAAAUUGCACAAAAUAAGCGAAAACGUAGAAAAUCAG
This 200-nucleotide long non-coding RNA is filed under the name Panax ginseng (ginseng). Its description in RNAcentral is "long non-coding RNA (PGIN_LNC014845)". The record is from RNAcentral. Lineage: Eukaryota; Viridiplantae; Streptophyta; Magnoliopsida; Apiales; Araliaceae.